AUUUCUCCCUGUACAAUUUCACAGCAGCUGCAUGUCCAAGAAUCAUGUUAUGGGCUACCAUGUAGGGUUCGGUACCGGAGUUACCGAGCGUGCAGUUUCCGACAUAGUUAGAGCAACGGCCUGGAGCGAAAGUACCGCCAUUGUAGCCAUUGUUGCUGAACGAGUAUGGCUCAUUAAAUGUGCACCAGUGCUUCACUCGAUCGCCAAAUGUUUUGAAGCAAAAGUCCGCAUAGUCAAGGUAAUCAUCCCUAAUACAUUAAUCUUACCAGUUAAUUAAGUGAUAUGAGAUCUUGAACAUUAUGACAAUACUAAUUAAAUUAAAAUUACAUUCGCCUAUAUUGUUAUCUAUCUUACACAGCUUUGGAGCUUAGGAAUCCGGAAUACUCAUUGUCAAGUGCUUGUGGAAGAUCCCAGUGAAACAAUGUUACAAAAGGUGUUAUGCCUGUGCAUAAUUAACAUUAAUCAGAAACCAAAAGCAAAUAUCAAUGGUAGAGCUUGGAGUACUGCAAGGUAGAUAUCGGAUAAUCACCAUUAGCUAAGAGCUCAUUGAUGAGAUUGUUGUAGAAUCUGACACCCAGAGGGUUCACUCCUCCACUAAUUUUUCCCUCUGAAAUUGAAAGAAGAAUCAAUUAUGAAUAUCAUAUGAACAUAAUUGUGAUGCCGAAGAAAUUGAUUUGAGUGAUUUUCGUACUCGGUAACACUCUUGACCAAGAGAUGGAGAACCUAAAAGAGUCCAGGCCAAUUUUUUUCAUCAAUUGUAUGUCCUCCUGAGACAUUUUAUACUAAAUAUUAGUAAAACGGAAUUUCCUUAGAAUAUACAUAUAUAAGUUUGCUAUAUGAUACGAAGAUAUACAUGGUGGAAAAUUGAGUGGCCAUACCUUGUAUCGAUGAUAAAAGUCGAUGGCUACAUUUCCCGUGCUAUGGUCCCAAAUUUUCUCUGCAAGUACAUCAUAAUUUUUAUUUUUAAUCCAAGUUCCCCGUUAAAUGGAUAGUAAAAUUGCAUAUAAAAGCGGAGAAGCCAAGUUUAGAGAAAUGGACCUGGAUGCUGUUUAGUGAAGGUGUCCCAAAUACUUGGUCCCUUUCCAUCAAUAUAUGCAGCUCCUUCAGACUUAGAAACACAGAAAAAGCAAGGGGUAAAUACAAGCAUAUGAAAGCAAGAAAAUGCUCAAGGUUCACCGCGUAAUUAAACGCAGCAACAAGUUCAUUGCAUUGACAUCAAAAAAAUGAUCUUCCUGCAUAUUUUUAUCAAUAUUGCUUAAUAUUGGUUUGUCUUUUAUACCGUAAAGAUACAAAUCCAGUAUUAAAAUGCCCGGUUUUUGUCAAAACAUUGACAUCAAAAAAAUUUAAAAAUAAAAAAACGUUUUGCUUUAAAAAAAAUUCUGAAAAAUCCUUAAAAAAUAUUGUUGAUUUUCCUGCAUAUUUUUAUCAAAAUUGCUUAAUAUUGGUUUGUAUUUUUAUACCGUAAAGAUACGAAUCCAGUAUUAAAAUACCCGGUUUUCGUCAAGACAUCAAAAAAAAAUGUUUUUUUUUAAAUGCAUACGGCCUAGUCUCUCCAAAAUAAAGAAAAAAUCAUUGCAUCAUAUUUGCACGAAAAUGAUCAUCUGCAGUUUCUUUACAGCGCCAUGUAAAUAGAUCAGUUUGCAUGACAAUCUUUAGGCGCCGGUGUCGGCCUAAACAUGCCAACUCAAGCACCUUUUUCUGCAGAUUUGAUUGUGCACCAUGCUUACUUUGAGCCAACAGUUGGGAUCCUUUUCAACUUAAUCAAGGGCUGCAAUUUUACCCCGAUGUAGACGAGAUUGCCCUCUUCCAUCACCCAUAAAUAGAGGUUGAGUUGAUGGUCUGAGAGAGGAGAAAUUGGGGUCCAAAUAUUAGAAAAAACCAGCCACUUCCCAGUUUUUUUUCUACAACGUCUCUAUCUCUUCACUCUCUCUCUCCACCAUGCUCUCAGCGACCUCACUAUUUUCAACGCCGGCUUUACCGCCACCCUCUCCACCACACUUAUCCCUCUCCACCGACUGCUUCUCCUUUUUCCUCCACAGCGACAGCAACCCACCAGCACCCCCAUUUUUGUUUCCUUCCUUCUCCAUUAUCGGCAGCAGUAGCACCAACUCCUCUAUAGAUCGCCAAGACCAGCUGCUCCUCCGAAGCCUAGGUGGCCUCCUUUUUUUUUUUUUUCUCUCUCUCUCCUUCUCUUCCUCUUUAUUCCCCCCCAUCUGCAUCACCCUGCAUGCAUAACGAGAAUUCUCAAAAAUAAAUUUUAAAAAAUUAUGGUUUUCUCAAAUAUUUUUCUAUCCAUUUUGCAUAAUAGGUUGUAUAUUUACAUUGUAAAAUACCAAUCUGGUAUUAAAAUACCUAGUUUUCUCUGAAAUAUUUCAAAAAAAAAAAAAAAAAUCAAAACAUUUUCAAAAAAUAUCAAAAAAAUUUAAAUCAAUUUUCCUUUUCAAAAACAAAAAAAUAUUUUGUUUCAUGCAUACGACUAAAUCCUAAAAAUUUUCCAAGCAUAUUUUCAUUAAAAGAUUGCGUCUUUCUCAUGUUUUGAAAAUUCUAAAAAUGGAUAUCAUAACUAGUUUAUGAUUAUCCAUUAGGAUCUGACCAAAAUAUCAAAAACCUUUUUCCAACAUUUUUUCCUAGGGUCCAAAUGUAGACUUUAAUAUCUAUAGGGUGUAAAAUUACACAAUAAAGUACACCCUCAAGUAUGAAAGAUACAAGGUGUAAAAAUGCGAUGCUAAAAAUUAGAUUUUAGAAUGUCUAGGAUUUAACCCGAUAAGGUAAAGACUCUCUCAUGAAGAGAGAUCUGCGUUGAGCCUCAAAAAAGACCAACGAAUAGAAACCCAACUUAGAAAAACAAUCAAACAAUAAUGUAGCUUACCUUAGAUAAGGUGCACUGGGGGUGAUGCGUCUUCCCCUUGCACAACCAGUCCCUUACUCAGACUCUCGCAGACCAUAUGUUCCUAGUAAUCAUAAUACUAGGUGGUGACUUCUAAACAUUAAUCAUAAUUUUAUGAAUAAAUCCAAAACCCUUUCCAACACAUAACACCUCACAUAGGAGGCACGAAAGUAGCCUCCGCCAUCGCCAGACGAUGUUGCCCCACGACAUGAUGGAGACUUUGCUGGGGAAAGCCAUGUCUGGUCGGACUGAGCUUUGCUUGUUUGAUUGUUUGCCUUUUUAUUGGUCUUUAAUUUUAGCUCACAUUUUUACUGCUUUAGUAUGCAUUUUAAUUUUGCGAAUAAACCUAAUUCUAGGUUAGGUGGGGAGUAGCGGUCUGCCUCAUGACUUUCAGUUGGGGUUUAGAUUCGUGAAACAUCCAACUAUGAGUUGAGUGUUUACUCGGUAAUGGUGGUCACACUGUGCCCUAACCAUUUCUUGUAAACCCUUAUAUUGCCUUUAUGUAAGGUGGCCUCUAGGCAGUUCAUAGACCUUUUCGAGACCAGGUAGAAAGCUUACCUAUCAUGUAAUGACCUAGAACCUUUCUUUGGAGCAUGAACUCCCUUGAUAUUCAUUAUGCAUGGGUUUGUGUUAUUCAUACCCAAUGUGCAUGUACAUACAUUUGCAUUCAUACACUUACCUCAAUCCAUUGUAAAUAACAUGCAUCUUUCAUUAGGUUGAAAUAUAGGUCCCUAAAGAGCCUACAACACCUAACUCCGAGUAAGAAAUAUGGAGGAUGAAGGGUGUGCUCACCGUGAUGCCCAUUUCCAAGAAGAGUUAGAGUCUCUGAAAGCAAGCGUCGCUUGCCUACUAGUUUACUUGAGCAAACACUUAGAAAUGCCUCUAGUGAAGGUCCUUCCAAUCGGCCAGCUAUUUUUGUUCAACCUCUGGCAACAACUCAACCUGAAGAAACAAUGAGUGAACAUGGUCAAUAACCUCCAUACAAUCUAGCAUUUGUGAACUCAAUGCCACCUGCACCAGCCCCUGCAGUUAUAGAUCCAUUUGCCAAUGAGUCCCAUAAGAUGAAGUCAUCCAAUAGCAUUGAUCAAGAUAAGAUGGCAAUGUUGGAAGCCCGGAUUAGAGCCAUUGAAGGGGUAAACUUGUACGAUCCAGUACGGGCAUCAUAAAUAUGUCUAGUCCCAAAUGUGGUGGUCCCGAAAAAGUUCCGUGUUCCUGAAUUCAUCAAAUAUAUUGGAACACAAUGCCCCAUGACUUAUCUCAAGUCUUACUGCAACAAAAUGGCAGAAGUAGUACAUGAUGAAAAACUAUUGAUGCACUUUUUCCAGGAUAGCUUGAGUGGGGCGGCAUUGAGCUGGUAUAUGAGAUUGGACAAUACAAAGAUCCAAAAAUGGAAAGACUGGGUGGAUGCUUUUAUCAAGCAAUACAGGUACAUAUGGGCAUUGCUCCUGAUAGAACCAGUCUGUCCAAUCUAGAGAAAAGGGACAAGGAAAGCACAAAGGAAUAUGCUCAAAGGUGGAGAGACCUAGCUGCUCAAGUACAUCCUCCACUCUUAGAUAAAAAGAUGGUCACUUUGUUUGCCAACACACUCAAGGACCUAUACUACGAGCAUUGAUGGGUAGUUCGGCCCAUCAAUUUACUGAUGUUGUGGCAAUAGCUGAACGCAUAGAACAAAGGAGUAAGGAGUGGUAGAAUCUCUGCACUUGUGGAGAAAAGGGGUUCUGGCGAUAAAAAGAAAGAGGUUGACCAUGUUGAUGGUAGGAAGAACCCAUUCUAAAAAUACCACACUUCAUCCUCUUUACCCCAAAUCGCCAACAUUAAUUUCAACUCUUUUUUUCCUACCAGAAAACCUGAGCCUCAAACCAAACACCAAAGAGCCCAAGAAAAACUACCUCCAUUACCGCUGCCUUUAAAUGAGAUGUAUGAUUAGUACUUAAAAGUGCAUUUUUCUCAAGGUUUUAUAUCAUCAUUUUGCACUUGAAGUAUCAAUAACUCCUUAACUAAAGCAUGUUUUAUAAUAACAUAUCUAAUAUAUAAGAUACCUUUAACUUAUGGUAAAUGCUCAUCUUAAAUGCAGGCCUAUCACAUAAAUAAAAGGAUUGAUUGAUGAGUUUAAGUAUUGAAAUUGAAAGGACAAAGAAGGGCAAACUUAGAAAAGUGAUGUUGGUGAGUCCAAACUGGAACACUGUUCGGUAAUUGGGUCAUAUAUGGAGCUGUAGAUCUUGGAUUUAGGUCUGCUUUAUAUGGAUGGAAAGAUAAGACAUAACCUACAACUUUCAUGUGGAGUCCAAGAUUUAAAGAGGCUGUUUUCAAGUCCAAAUUACAGCAAAAUGGAGAAGUCCGAAUUUAUCCUGUAGCCUAGACAAUGUUCAGUGUUCAGCCCAUAUCUCGAGUUCUAGAAGUCCAAAUAACCUUAAUUUUUUUCCUGGAAAGAUAAGAAAUUUCCUAUAACUUUCAUAAGCAUAGUUGAUUCUAGUUAUGAUGUUAGCAAUGACAUUUUGUUCAGACAAGAAGAUAAGGAUUUUCACCAAGUCAAGAGUUGGCCACCCACUCAACAAUUAGUCAUCAAAUCAAUAGUUCCAAAUUUUGGCCUAUAAAAGAAGGCUUUUGCCAUGCAUUUAAGAGCUUUGUUGUUCAGAUCAAGAACUUUCUUGCUCUCUCUCUUUAUAUUUUUUUUUGUAAUUCUAAGUUUUGCUUUCAUUAAUAUCUUGUUUAUGCUUUUCAAUUCCUUUCCUUUACUUAGUUAACUUGUAUCUUAUUUAUGUUUCUCUUUGUUAUUAUGUUUAGCUAAGUUUAUUAUGUCAAGGUGAAAAGGUUACACUAAUGGUGUAAGAAUAAGUAUAGUGUAAACUCAACAUGGACCUUAAUGUUUAAUAUUAACAUGUCUUAUCUUUUUAUCUUACUAAUUCUUAAUACCUUGCUUGUUAAAUGGUUAAUGUAGAUUUGUGUUGUAUAACACUUGGUACAACAAAUGCUUGACACUCUCAUAGCACUCUCAUGCUCUGGCAUCCUUUUUUCACUACUAUAUUUUUUCAAUAUAUUAUGUUAUAUAUAUAUAUAUAUAUAUUAUUUAAUUUUUUUGUAUUUUCUCUUUUCUUGUGCCGGGACCCAAAAAUUGGUUACAACAACCCUGACCAAUAGUCAUAGGACAGAUUGCUAGUUCCCCACCUAACCUAGAAGCUUGUGUGUGCUUUCAAAAAUUAAAACAAGUGAUGCAUGAGAUAAUUUUAUAAAAUGCAUCGAUACAAGAACAUUAAAAAAAAGAUAAAACUACAAAAACUUAAACACAUCAAAUACACAAAGCUUAGUCCAAUAUUGUUAAAAACAGUACCUUCCUUGGUGGAGUUGCCAUUUUGUCGCACGUCACCCACGCGACGUCCAUUGGCAAUUUUUCAUUUGUUUAUUUGCUUGAUUUGUUUUUAAGAGUCGCCACCUAGUAUUUCAUUGAGAGUUACUAGGAAACCCGGAUGUACUGGUCUUGUUAGAGAUUUGCGGGUAAGGGUCUAGUUGUGGUUAGGGAAGGUAUUAGCACCUCUAACGCACCCUACUUGAGGUAAGUUGCUUCGUGGCUUUAUUGUGUUAAAGAAGUUUUAAAAAAUUUAUCUUUUCAUCGGAUAUUAGAAAUAAGACUUACGUGUAAGUUCAUAAUCCUUAAUCAUGAGCAAAUCAAAACAUUAAAUUCUUCUUUAUUCUUUACAAUUUUUUAUAUAAAAAAACAGCCAUAAAACAUACAAACAACACAUUCACUUUCACUAUAUUUUUUUUUCUCUGUUUUUUUUAACAUCCACACUAGAAAUGAUAAAAAAAAAAAACUAAACAAAAAUUACAUCAAACAAUUUAAAAAUUACAAAAUAGCUGGACCAAAAAACAGUGGCGACGCGUCUUCUCCAUAUACCACCGCCACUAGCAGCAUGUGGAUUCAUGUGCUACCGCAAAAGCAACCGGGAAACAAGGCAGUCGAGAUUGGCACUGGAUUCUCCUCUUCCCUUUUGCACUAGCAAUGACACCGUGACUUGCAAAACAAAAAAAACACAACAACACAGUUGAUUCUCUCCUUUUUAGAUCUAUUUCUUCCUUUUUUGGAUCUGUUUCUCUCUCCUCCUUCUUUAGAUAGUAGAUCUGCUGUGAGGGGGAGGCCGUUAUGUUAGGCUGAGGUGGUGUGUCGCUACUACUGGAGAGUCCGGCUCUGUCGGGCAAAUUGGCCGAUGAUGGUGUAGAAGGAUGAGCGGCAGACAAAAUUGGGGUCGUGGGCGCCGCUAUGCUUAGGCUACUGUUAAAGGAAGAAAGCGGACCGAUUUGGGAUUUGUGGGUGCCACUGUGCCAGGAUGCUAUCGGUCGGUUAUGGUGGACGCCGAAGGUGGUGCUGAGGCGAAGAUAUCGUUGGGGCAAGCCAGUAUGUGGUUCAUGUGUUUCUUCUCUAUCACUAGCGGUGGAAGGGCUGAGGGAAACCUGAGAGAGAAGAUGGACGAUGGAGAGGGGAAAUGGAGACUGGAGCUAUUUAGUUUUUAAGGAGAAGGGAGGCGAUCGACCUUUAUUAAAUAGGUAAGAGAGGCUAAUGGGGGGAAAGGAAAAUGUUAGAUCCGAGGGAGGGAAGUAGAUGGGUCGGCUAAAAGAGGAGAGGUCUGGUUCUGGUGAGGGAGCGGCUGGUUCUGGUUAUUUCUUUUAAUCCAAAAGGGGGGGUCGGUUUGCUUGAAAGAGAUGGGUUUAGGGUUAAGGUUUUUUGUUGUGUUUUCUCCCAAAUGUGCAAAAUUGCCCCCCUCCUUUUGUGAGUUGUGGACCUAUAUUUAUAGGUAAAAUGUUACUUGGGCCUCAAAAUUGGUCCCUCAACCUUCCUUUUUUUGUAAAUUCUGAUUUUUCUUGUAUUUUUUAAAAAUGAGCAAUAUCAACAUCGACUCAAUAAGGAAAAUCAAUACUUUUAAAAUGGCGCGUGAAAAGUUGAAUGUGUUCAAAAGACAUUUGAAAAAUUAUAUUCUUUUGAAAUGAUGCUAAAAAUGCUAAAAACGAUACAAAUAUAUUAAAAACAUAUUUUUUUGGAUUUUUUGAAAAUUUUAUCAAAAAGAUGGGUCAAAAAUUGAGUACCAACAAGAACCAACAUCUAUGUGUAGCUGGGCUAACCUGAGAUCCCUUUUGGCAAUCCCUUUUAACCAGAACCAAAAUCUGUAUGGUUGGGCUACCUAGGAUCCCAUCUGGCGAUCCCUUUUAACUAGAACCAAACUCUGUAUGGUUGGGCUAACUUGAGAUCCCAUCCGGCGAUCCCCUUUAACCAUAACCAAAAUCCGUGUGGUUGGGCUAACCCAAGCUCCCAUCCGGCGAUCCACUUUAACCAGAACCAACCUUUUGUGUGUGGUUGGGCUAACCUGAGAUCCCUUUUGGCGAUCCUCUUUAACCAGAACCAAAAUCUAUGUUCUUCUCGUUGGCAAGGUUUGAACUUGCAUCCUUUUUCUUCUUCUCUUCUUUUUUUGAUAAUUUCCUAAUGGUAGGGUUCUUCUCAUUUUUCAUCUUGAUGAUAAGGUUAAAUCAAACUUUUCACUUGAUGCUUUCUUUCUUUCUUUCUUUUAUUUUUGUUAUUUUGCACGACUGACAUAUGUCUUUCCUAAUUGCAGGGUUGACAUUUGUCCUUCCUGAUGAUUGAAAUUAAUUGGAUUUUUCUUGAUGAGAAGGUUGGAAAACUUGGUGCUUCCUGAUUGCAGGGUUGACCUGAAGACUCCUCAUGAUGACAAGGUUGAUAUUCACAUUUCUUUGAGAUUUUUAUGACAAUAAGGUUUAUCUCAUCUUCUUCCUGUUCCAGGGUCACAACCAUGAUUCUCUAUUAUUAUUAGCUCAAUGAUUCUAUUCGCUUUUUUUUUUUCAAUCUUGCUGGACUUCUUUGAGGAUUUUCCUAUAACGAAUAAAAAAUAUGUGUGCAAUGCUUUGAGGUUAGAUGACAUGCAUGCAUCCUUACCUGAUUUGAAAUAUAGGUCCCCCCUAUUUGAUGUUCCAUCGUCAUAGGAUGCCUUUGUUUGCUAUCCAAAAGCCUUCUUUACUCUUUCCAUCUACUGGCCCGUUCAUGUGCUAGUCAUACACUCCACUAUAAAUGUAGCGCCUAUCCUAGGUUGUCUUCGAUGAUUAUUGAUUUCAUUGUUUAUCAAGCUUGACAAUGCCCCCAAGUGUGGUGUUGCUUGAUUCAUCAUGAAGGAGUUUAACAAAUCAUUUCAUCUCCUGAAUUCUUUCGAGAAUCGUUCUUUGAUUAGCUGUGUGCAUCCUACCAGCACUCAUCAAGAGAUUUUCUAGUGUUGUCCUCAUCUUAGAUUGCUAAUCAGCCAUUGACUUGCCUCCAGUGCUCGUUCAUCUUAUUAUCUUCCUUUCAACACCAUUGUCCUCAGUUUCACUGAUUCAUCAUUUAAUCAUUUUUUUUAUUGCCCCCUAGCUGAUCUGAAUAUUGCUUGUUUUUCCUUCUCAGGGUCCACUGUAUUGCCCCCGGCUGCUCAACUUUUCAAGAAGUAUCAAGAAGUAUUGAUGUCCCUUCUAUCAAGGACUUUGUAAACUCGAUCGGUGCUCUUUUUGUUUGACAAUCUUUCUUGCUCGGGAAUCAACUCUCAUAUUUCAAAGAUCAUGUAUAUUCCAAAGUCUAAUUGUUGAUGUUGUUACCCAUUUUUGGGUCCCCACACAAAGAUAAAAAUAUAAUAACAACAAAAAAAUAAUAAAAUAAUAAUAAUAAUAAAUAAUAAUAAUAAAUAAAUAUAUAGCCGAAAGAAAUUAGAAAAAAUAAUAGGAGGCGGGAGCGCUCAGGAAAUGGCCAGAAAAAUUGAUUAAGGAGGAUUAAAAUACAAACAUUAAAAUUUUUUGACAGUAUGAUGAGAGCUCUAUUGGAAAAGAAAAUUCAAUUUGAAGAGAAAAGUUCAAAAUUGGAUGUUUAUGGACUUAAUUGGAUUUUAUUGCAAAUUUAAUUGAAUUUAUAGAGGGUUUGAUUGCAAGAAAAAAUGAUUUUUUAAGUCAAUUUUGGAUUAAUUGGAAGAAAUUAAAGUUCUGGGGUCAAAUUAUAAUUUUUAGGAAUUGAUUAGGUCAAAUCAGGGGCUUAAUUGCAUAAAUAUUAAAAUUUAAUGGCCAAUUAGGGACUUAAUUGAGAAAAUCCAAAACCAAAGACCAAAUUGGAAAAGGCGCGUAAAUAGAGGGUCUGUAAUUGAUUGAUUCAGGGGCCUAAUUGAAGAAAUUGGAAGUUUAUUGAUCAAUUGAGGGCCCAAUUGCAUAAAUUAAAGGCCAAGGACUGAAGUGAAAAACGCGGCCAACUAUAGGGGCGGAGACUGAAAUUGGCAGGGAUGCAAUUGAAUUAAUUCUUAAAAUCGAAAUUAGAUUUGAGGACUUAAUAGAACAAAGGAUAAAUUAAGGACUGAUUUGGAAACAAAUAUUCUAGCGCCACAUUUAAAUGAAACGGCGCGUUUUGUCCAAAACGACGUCAUUUCAUGUAAAAAAAAAAAAGGACAGAACGGUGUCGUUUUGAACGACAUUGUUCCCCUUUCUUCUUCCCCUGGACGUGCAGCAGGGGAAGAAGGAAAGCUUUUGUUUUUUCACUUUAAAUCUUCCUGCCUCUCUCUCUCCCCGCGUGCUCUGCCAAGACCCGAAGCCCCACGCCCUUUGAUGAUGAGAAACCAGGAGAGUCGCGCCCACUGGCCAACCGACCGGCGUUGCCCCUCUCCCCCAUGCAACCAUAAUGAGGCCCUGCUCCCUUUUCCCCCUAUAAAUGGAGACUACACGCCAGCACGCGGGGGAGAAAAAAAGGAAGGAGAGGGAACGAACCGAAGGGAGGACGAACCGAAAGAAAAAAAAAAGCAGAGAAAGAAAAAAACAGAACCGAAAAGGGAGAGAAACAACCGAACAAGAGAGAACCAUUGAAAACCCAAAACUGAGAGGAAGGGGGAAGCUUGAAACCGGGAGGGAAACUUAAAAACAAAAACAAAACACAGAACCGAGAGAACACAUAACCGUUUGAAACAGCCGCAGCGCCGCUUGGAGCCGCAGUCCGUGAGCCACGACACCGCCACCGCCUCCUCCGUGUCAGGUAAGCUCUUCGUCCCCCUCUUUGUUUUGUUUCUAUUUGUUCUCUUUCUCCUGCAUGCAAAACGCUUUCUACAUGCAGGAGAGGGGGAGGGAAAAUAAUUCCCUCCCCCUCGUCAGUUACGUUGUUGGGCCAGGCUGAUCCUGGCCCAGCAUUUGUUGGUUUUUUUCCUCUCUAGGCCAGGCUGAUUCUGGCCCAAACUAAAAAAGAGAGAUAUGUUGGGCCGAGAUCGGCCCAACCCCUUUUGGGCCAAGGCUGGCCUAGCUAGUUGGGUCAUGCCAGGCCAGCCCAUAUAAUAUUAUAUAUUAAUUAUUAUAAUGUUUUUAUAUUAUUUAUAUAUAUACAUAUAUAUCCAAAAAAAAUUAAAAAAAUUCUUGAAAAAUCCUAAAAUUUUUGUUGAUCUUCCUGCAUAUUUUUAUCAAUAUUGCUUAAUAUUGGUUUGUCUUUUAUACCGUAAAGAUACAAAUCCAGUAUUAAAAUGCCCGGUUUUCGUCAAAACAUUGACAUCAAAAAAAUUUAAAAAUAAAAAAACGUUUUGCUUUAAAAAAAAUUCUGAAAAAUCCUUAAAAAAUAUUGUUCAUUUUCCUGCAUAUUUUUAUCAAAAUUGCUUAAUAUUGGUUUGUAUUUUUAUACCGUAAAGAUACGAAUCCAGUAUUAAAAUACCCGGUUUUCGUCAAGACAUCAAAAAAAAAUGUUUUUUUUUAAAUGCAUACGGCCUAGUCUCUCCAAAAUAAAGAAAAAAUCAUUGCAUCAUAUUUUCAUACAAUAAAAGAAAUUUCAAAAAAGUAUAUGUAUUAGCAUGCAUUUAGGCUUUAACAACAAGUUUGUUAGAACCACGAGAACUAGGUCAAUAUUUCAAAAAUUCUAAAAAAUCUUUUUGUUUUCUUUUAGUAUUGAGGAUUACGAAUUUAUACGUAAAACGUAUUCCUGACAUUAAAAAAUAUAUAUAUAGAGAGACGUUAAAACGAUUAUGAUUUUACCCGAUAAGAUAAGGACCUCUUUAUUGAGGAGGACUUUUCUUGAGCCGUAAAUAGACCAACAAUUGAAAUAGGAUAACACCUUAGUUUUUUAUCAAACAAUCAAACAAUGCAGCUUACCUUAGGUAAGGCGUAUUUGGGGUGCUAAUACCUUCCAUUUACACAACCAGUCCCCGUACCCGAUCUCUGAGACCAGUUAGGGUUCCUAGUGACCAAAAUACUAGGUAGCGACUCCCAUUCCAUUUUCUACCAAUAAACGACAAGAAUUUCUUGUCCCCCCAUAUUUACCAAAUAGAUUUACAUUUUAGAUUUAAAGUGGGACAUAUAUUUUUCGCCGCGACGCCGCACACGUGCGACAGUUGAAAUGGAAUAAGAGAGAUGUCAGUUUUGUAAAGGUAUUUUUUUGAAAUUCAAGCUUCUUUGGUCAAAGACCCAACACACGCCAUUCAAUACAUGUAGUCCUUUGAUUAUUUUAUAUUUGGAAAACAUAAAUUUACCCGUUGAAAGAUUAAAAUGGUUUUUUUCCAUGGUUCUUUGUGUUAAUUUUAAUCUCUGAUCUUGGGUAUAUCUUUUGAUAAUCUAUGAUGAGGUGACCUUUUUGUGAAAAACAAGAUGCUAAAGUUAGAACUUAGGCUUUAUCAAGAAAGGUUUUUUUUAGCACUUAUUUUCUCAGCAUGCAUAAUAACAAGUAGCUUAAUCUAUGAAGUCACAACCUUAAUGGGUUCAAAUUGCUUACUUGAUCGAAAAGGGCUUUUAAAAACACGUAAUGUAGGCUAUAGUUUAUGGCUAUGAAAGAAAGGAAUUUUACAGGCUUAAAAGGUGUUUGAGGGUUUCAAAAACCUAGGAUCAACAUCAAUUAUUCAUCAUUUAUCUUUCUCUUGUUGUCUUUGUAGAGAAAGUGGCAUAUAACCUUAUUAGCCUCAAAUAUCAGAAUUCUCAUAGGUCAUAAUGAAAAUCAUUGACUUUUGACAUUUGUUUUCUUUGAUGAAUAAUAAUCUCAAUCAUCUGAUAACAUCAAGGGCUUUAUCAUGGAUGCCAAAAGUCAUGUUUCUAGCUUAGUAUUGUUUUUUUUUUUUAAUUAUUGACUUUUGACAUUUGUUGUGUCUUUCCUCAUUUGAAACUUCUUUGUUUUUCUUAGAUUCAAUAGGCAUUCUCCUUCCUUUAUCUUUGACCUGCCUUUAAGUGUAGGCAAUUUUCAUGUUAUAUAUAUAUAUAUAUAUAUAUAUAUAUGGCUUUCAAAUAGCCUUUCUCAUUGUUUCUAUCAUGCCCCCAGUCUAAGUCUUCUUUCUUUUAGCUCUCUCUCAAACGUUGGACUUUUUUCUUAGCCUUCAUUGAUUCACUUUUGUCUUCCCUUAUUUUCCCCAGUAUGGGUGUGAUCCUGGUCAGGUUUUUUUUAAAAAAAGAAUAUUCUAUCACGCUCAAGCUUUUUAUUCUUUCUCAAACUCUACAAUAGAAAUUUCUUGAGUGAUGACCAUUAUAUCCCCCGUAAGUCCUGAAUUCAAGAUGCUUCAAGAAGGGUUUGCUCAAAUGCAAAACAAUGUGUAUGGAGCAUACAUCCUAAAGACAGGCUCUAAUCUUUUUACGUGAGACAAAAGGUUGGUUUACUACUUGGUCUCUAAAAAGGGUAUCUUGUUAUCCCAAUGAUCACCCUUGUAAAGGCAAUAUGGGGGCCCAGUAGGUAAUGGUUGGCAUGUGUGUCAAUCAUUACGAGUCUAAGCACUCGAUGAAGAGUUGGGGUUUACACAAACUUAAACCUUGACUAAAAGUCGUAAUGUAAGCUAUUAGUCCCACACCUAACCUGAAGCUUGUGUGCGCUUUCAAAAAUUAAAACAUGUGAUGCAUGAGAGAAUUCUAUACAAUGCAUGAAUAAAACAAAAAUAAAUAAAACAAAACACAAAAAAAACUUGAACAUGUCAAAACACAAAGCUUAGUCCGAUAAUGUUGAAAACAGUACCUUCCCCAGUGGAGUCGUCAUUAUAUUGCUUGUCCCCACGCGGCGUCUAAUGGUGAUUUUUCAUUUCUUUGCAUGAUUUGGGAGUCGUCACCCAGUAUUUGAUUGAAGGGUAAUAGGAACCCGAGUAUAUUGAUCAUUGUUAGAGAUUUGAGGGUAAGGGACUGAUUAUCGCUAUGGAAGAUAUUAGCACCCCUAGCGCACCCUACCUGAGAUAAGCUGCUUUGUGAUUUGAUGUGAUUUUAAAAAUAUUAGUCAAAUUUUUAAGGCUUUAAUAAAUUAGUUAUUAAUUCUCAAAAUAUAUAUAUAGAAACAUGUUCUUAUAUUUUCAUGGGAAAUACAACAUGAUUUUAUUUGUCCUUUAAGAUAUUUGACCAUAUGUAAAUUAAAACAUUAAAUUCUUUUUAUCUUUUUUUUUUAUUUUAUAAUUCAAUAACAUACAUAAAAAAAAACAUACAAACACACACAUCCCUUUUUAUUAUAUUUUAAACAUACACCAUAAUUACAAAAUAACAAAAAAAAAAAAUCAAAUACAAUUGAAAAAUUAUAAAAUAAAUCUAGAAACUGUCGGAAAGCCUUCUAGGAUCUAAUAGAAUCUUGUCGGCCCGUCUUCUCCACGCGCGGACGUUAAUGGCAGUGCGUGGGUUCACAUGCCGCCGUAAAAAGACAGGUGACAGGGGAGAUCUGCAACGGCUUCCUCCCCUCUUCACCUUCCUCGCCGAAGGUGUGGACCACCGUCACCUGCAAAAGAAGAAAAAAUACACAAAACAGUCGGUUUUAAUUUUCUUUUUCUUUUUUUCAGAUCUGCUCUCGGUCUUCCUUUUUUUUAAAUCUGUUUAUUCUACAUAUCUGUUUUUUUUUUCAUUUUGUUUCACUUUCUUCUAUGUUUCAGGUGGCCAGCGAUAUGUCCAAGGGGCGGCCUACGACUGAGCUUCUGUCGUGUAUGGGCAGAUGCUGGUGGCCGGUUCGGGUCUUGGUGAGGUCAAAGGCCCGUAGGUUGCUAGGCGGCGUUGUUAGUGGCUGAGAGAGAGAUCAGUCAGAGAUGGGGAACAGUUGACCGAGGAAGAGAGCUUGUUUGUGAAGGCCGACAAUGGGGAUGUUGGGUCGACUGUGAGAGUAGAAGGAGACUGUGGAUAGGCUGGGCUAUGUAACAGAGGGGGGAAAUGGGGGAACAAUGGAGGUAGAUGUUCACGAUGUGUGUAGGGAAGAGCUAGGGAUGGCUGUUGGUUUGGAGAGAAACAAAGGAAGUGGGGGACCAUGGGUUUUUGAGAAGGCCGAAGCAGAUGGUGAGUGGCGUGGGACUUGAAGAUGAGAGGAAAUGGGAGCUACAGUGAUGAAGGGGCUGAAGGUUUAAGAAGGAGCCAAAGGGAACCAAAACUGAGGGAGCGGCAGCCGGCCAUUUUUGCAAAGGGAGGGGGGCAAUCGGCUGGCUUGGGAGAAAUAAUUUAGGUUUAGGGUUUUUUUUGUAGCCCCGCCGAAUGGCUCUUCCCUUUCUCUUUUUUUCCCCCCCAGGAAAUUUUCCUCCACCACCUCUCUUUAAACCAGUUUUUCUUCUCUAUUUGUAGAGAAAAUUAUUUGAAAAUUUAAAUUCUUUUGAACGAUGCUGAAAAUGCUAAAAAUGAUGCAAAUAUAUCAAAAAUAUUUUUUUUAGGGUUUUCAUUGUUUUUUUGCUAUUUUUGGUUUUUUCUAAAAAUUUAUCAAAAACAUAGGUAAAAAAUUGGGUAGCAACAGAUGUUAGUUGAAAAUAUAUAUAGAUGUUAAAUUUUUAUAGAUGCUAGGUUGUAUAUAAGAUUUUCCAAUGGAGUCAAUUGGUUCAUGGUUGUUGUAAAUAUAUGCAGGUUUGAAAACUGUGGGUAGUCUUCAGUAUAAAGGAGGUGUUGCCGAAUUUUUUUUAAAAUAAACAAAUUUAAUUAUGUAAUUAUUCAUAUAAAUUUAUGUAGAUGCGUAGAACGAAAUCAACAACACGUCGUCAGUAGACGGUUGCAGCUAGUGUUGACUUAUAAAUUUCUGUUUUUUUUUCGACAAACGUACCAACAUAAAUGGGAAUUACCGACGAUCAAUAUUCUGACAGACAUAUUCCAUCAAUGAUACCAUUGGCAAAAAUGUUGCUGAGGAAUUGUGUCUUAAACCGACGAAAUUAUUCCAUCAGUAUAACUGCUUAAUGGUGUAGUGACCGUUAUUGUUGAAAACCCCCCAGCAUAUUAUUCUACCCAAACUCCUCUAUAUAGUACAAUUGUCUGUGAACACUGGGUGCAACUUGUUGAUGUGGAGCUGUAAAGGAGGGUAUUGUUGUAGGUACUAAGACUUAUUGAGAUGACAAAGUCGAAUUUGAAUCUCGAGCUACCAACACAGCUUGGGUGAAGAGUUGCACUUAGUUGAUAAGUUGUUUGAAGUUUGGUUGGAUAAAAGUAUCUAUUGUGACAAGGAGAUAUGUUACACGUUCUAUUCCAAGAGUGUCUUGAUUAUCUAUCAUUGAUGAUGAUUAGGGAUGUCAAUAAAGCAAUUAUAUAAGAGCAAUUAAUGGCUCUUAUCAAAUUUCUCAUAGACGACACUAAAUGAUAAUGUUCUAAAAUUAUAUGUGCUCUAGAUUGAGGUUAUUUGGUGUUUGAAUAGUAGUUGAUCACAAGUUCAAGUCAAUAUUAUCUUCUUCAAAGCUCACGAAGUAGAUGAUUGGUGGUUGAAAGCUUAACACCUGUAAAAUAGUCUUUUAUGAGGUUUAGGUACCCCUCGAAAAUAAAAUCAGUAACUUUUAAUAAAUGAUUAUAAUAAAUGCUAAAAUGAGCUUUAAGUUCUAAGAACAAACAUGUUUAUUCUUGUUUUGGUAUGGUAAAUGCUCUAAGAAUAAGAGUACAAAUAUUUAAAUAAUAGAAAUUAUGAACCCUUUAUUUGGAUGAUUCAUGAGGUAUUUAUAAUCCCUGAACCUUAUUAUUUUAAUGGAGUGAAGAAGUUGGAGAAUCAUUUUUUUCUAAUGGUAUUAAUAGAAAAUAAAUAUCUCUUACAUUUAUUAAUAAAAUUAAAAUUUGAUGCUUAGGAGAGUUUAUCAAACUCCCAUCCACCUGAACUCAUGACUAACCUAAAAAUAUUAGAUUUAGACACAAGACUCAUCCACCUAUCAGUGAAUUACAACACAUUCCUAUACUUGAGGCCAGGUUAUUCACACACGCAAGCAAUGGUGCAGGUGGAAAUAUGAUCAAAAAGGAAGAUAAGUAUCUAGGCCAGCAAAAUUGCCAAGCCUAUGGUACUGCCCCACAUCAGCAUGCUUUAUAAGCAUUAAGACACUAGCGUGUCCCACAUCAGGAUGUGCCAUGUCUAUGCUACAGCAAGCCACGUCAGGAUGUUAGAAGUGGAGAGUAAAUACCGAACAAUUUGUUCUCUCUCUUUUUGAACUGAAUAUUGAAUAAAUUUAGGAUUGGCUUGAGAGGAAUAACUCUUAAACAGAUUUAGGGUUUAUAAAGUAGUGUACAAAAUCCUUGUUUAUAUGGAAAUCUUGUUGUUCACUAGUAAAAGCAUUCGAAGCAGAUAAAUGCAGGAAGCAAGGGUGUACAUGAGUUCGGGGGCCCUUUUAAAUACAUCAUCAAUCGAGAUUAGGCAUAGUUUGCCACCAAUAAUUGAUGUUUAGGCAUAAAGAAAAGUUUGUAAUUCACAUUAGAAUUCUUUUCUGUUCAGAUUUUUCCUCAAAACAUUCAAAUUGAGAAGUUCAUAAAGCAAAUGGAAAUAUAGGAUUUCUCACAUGUCGUAAAGGACAGAAGGAUGACGUCUCUUUCUUUAUUGAACAAGCCACACCAUAGAAAAAACAUGGGAAUUAUUACAAGAAAACAUACAAGAGACGAGGGACAGACAUCGUUCUCAUAUUGUAAGGAAGAUUCUCCUUGUCUAAACUUCUCCAAUCACUCAUAAAGCAACAAAUUAAGAUGACCAAGGUAGGGCUAACCAACUCAACCUCAACAACUUAGUGUAGGAGGAACAUCUUGAACCAAUACGCCGAGUAUUUCAUGUAUCUCUUUAAAUUGUUCUUGAAAUCAAUAUAAAUCAUGCCAAAACGGACGGUAUAUCCAGCAUCCCAUUCAAAAUCGUCCCAAAAUGCCCAUUGAUAGUAUCCCUUCACAUUAGCUCCCUCACUGCACCAAGAAGAAAACCAUGACUACUCUUCUUCAACAUCAAUGCUAGUGCCUAAGGGUUAUUUUGGUGUAAAUUAUGACUUCUCUUUCCAGAAUUUUUCAAUUAAUCAUCUAUUUUAAUGUUUUUGAAAACAGAAAGCAAUAACAUAUAUCAGAGAAUGAGGGCUCACUUGAUGGCUUUUGAAAGAUAUUGCAGAUGGCUAGCUAAGUAUCUUAUUCUUAGCCCAUCUUUCAGAGCUUCUUUAACAGGCAAUGAUGCAUUAUUUGCAUCAGCAAGACCUGUAAAUAAGGAAGAUUCAACAAAAUACCAGCUCUGGAUAUUAUUAAGAAAAAAAUCCAUACGAAUAGACACUUGUCAUAAAGUAUUAAAGAUGCACAACUGCUCUUAAUUAUUACCAUUCUCAGUAAUGUAAAUCGGAGGGUUCUUGUACUUGUCCCUUACAUACAGCAUAAGGUCAUAAAUUCCCUUCGGAUAGAUGAAUAGCCAAUUCAAAGCUGUCUGUGAAACAAUAACAUAGAAUUUCCUUAGCAAAUAAUCACGCCCUGUUCUAUUUGGACAAACUAAUUGAUGUGUAAAAAUAGGAACAUUUAUAGAAGAAAAUCCUUCCCAUUUUUCUUUCAUUUGGCUCAGUGGAAGGGAUAGAUAAUUAUGAAUGAAGCAUAGAAUUGGGAAAGAAAGUACCGGUGUACCGAUAGGAUGUCCACCCUUGGAAGCUGGGGUAAAAAAUUAAAAUGACCCUUUAGAGUGUAUUUAUAUAUAUUAAGGCUAAAAGGAAGAAAAAUAAUUAAAUGAGAAUAAAUUUUAUUUUCUUAGCUUACUUGAGAGAAUGGUUUGGAAUCUCCAGAGUAACUAAAGUUGAUUUUAUUAGGAGCUGGAUUGUUUGCUGCAUAAUUUGUAGUGUAGUAAUUCACACCAAGAAAAUCUAUUGACCCUUUUACCAAAGCAGAUUCCUCUUUAGUAAAUUUGGGUAGUCGAUGUCCCACUAUAGCUUUCAUGGUCUCAGGAUAAUCUCCGUAAGUAAGUGGAUUCACAAACCUGCACAGUUUUGUGACAAUUAAGGUGUAAGUGUUGCUAUCAUGAUAGAUUUUUAAGGGCAGAUUUUAAGAAAAAUCACCGGAGAAAGCGAGAUGAAAAUUAAUGUCAAGAACUUACCAACCAAACAGAAAAUCAAGUUCUCUAUAGGCUGCUUUGAUAUCUUCCUCUGAUUUUGGAGAUUUUGGUAUAAACCAGUUUGUCACUAUAGUGAUCCCGAUUUUUCCCUUUUGAGAAGCCUGCAAUUAAAAAUGAAAUAUCCCCUUAAGUUCACAGCUUUUUUGUCAAGAAGUCUCACUUUUGCUUUGUUUAAUUUAUUUACAGUGCAUCAUGAUUUAUUAUGGAUUUCAUUGCACACAAACCUGAUAUUUCUCCCUGUACAAUUUCACAGCAGCUGCGUGUCCAAGAAUCAAGUUAUGGGCUACCAUGUAGGGUUCGGUACCGGAGUUACCGAGCGUGCACUUUCCGACAUAGUUAGAGCAACGGCCUGGAGCGAAAGUACCGCCAUUGUAGCCAUUGCUGCUAACGAGUAUGGCUCAUUAAAUGUGCACCAGUGCUUCACUCGAUCGCCAAAUGUUUUGAAGCAAAAGUCCACAUAGGCAAGGUAAUCAUCCCUAAU
RNAcentral lists this long non-coding RNA (19614 nucleotides) under Populus tremula. RNAcentral's name for it is "long non-coding RNA (PTRE_LNC000157)". The record is from RNAcentral. Lineage: Eukaryota; Viridiplantae; Streptophyta; Magnoliopsida; Malpighiales; Salicaceae.